UUUCUUCUUCUGGUCUUUCUCCCUUUCUCUGUUCGAUUGAAAAAGGUUCACGGAACUUGAUUGAAAUUUUUCAUAAACGUAUUGGAGGGUACCAUCGAAUUGGAAGAUUCAAACUUCAAUUCAAGUGCAAACCAAGUCCUUGUAGUAUUGCAAGAAGAAAUGAACCUAGAAAAGAAUUAACGAGGUGAAAGCUUGGAUUUCGCAUGAAAAUGAUGUUGAUUGAGAUGACUACGACGACUAGAGAUUUUGGAGAACUAUUUGUUUAGUUGACUACUUGAUCAAAGAUGUGAUCCGAUUUGAACCUAAUUAUCUUUUAAAAGGAAAGGAACUUAGGUGAGUACAAGCUAUACUAUUUCUAUAGCUAAGAUUCUUAAUUUCAUUCGUAAUUGGUGAUUGAUGAAAUAUUUUAGUA
This is a long non-coding RNA of Papaver somniferum (opium poppy), 412 nucleotides long. RefSeq lists it as uncharacterized. The record is from RefSeq and is a predicted model, not a curated record. The transcript has 2 exons. Lineage: Eukaryota; Viridiplantae; Streptophyta; Magnoliopsida; Ranunculales; Papaveraceae.